Molecule: long non-coding RNA, 968 nt
Filed under: Manihot esculenta (cassava)
Lineage: Eukaryota; Viridiplantae; Streptophyta; Magnoliopsida; Malpighiales; Euphorbiaceae
Description: long non-coding RNA (MESC_LNC007537)
Source: RNAcentral
UUCGACCUGACCCAUUUAAUUGCUUUUAUUUAUAUGGAGAGACUCGACCCAUAUAAUGGAAACCCAGCAAAGUUGACCCAUAAAAGUCUAAGGAGAGACUCAUAAAAGUCUAAGGAGAGACUCGACCCAAUAAUGGAAACCCAGCGAAGUUGGUGAAGAUGCACCGUUUCCAACAACACCACCUUUCCAUAGAACUUCAACCAAAAAAAAAAAAAAAAAAAAAAUCAAUAGAAGCAGCCUUUGUGGAAGCUAUAAACCAUUGUAAGCUCAUAACAAAAAGGACCCAUUACAACCCAUCGCGGCUAUCAUCGAUUAUGACGGUGGAAGAUCAAAUAUGGAAGAUUCCACCAAAUAUGGAAGCACAAAAGAACAAUUUCCAUGGAAGUUGUAAAGGAGUCCAACAAGACAAUGGAAAUCGGCCAUGGUGAGAACCAACAACCUACGAUAAAAGGAGCAAAUCUAGCUCUCAAAACAUCAAGAAAGUGAAAACCAACGCAGUUUAGCAGAGUACUAGUUUAAUUGAAGCCGAUGAAAGAUCAGAGCAAUCCAACAGUAGCGAACGUCGUAAGCGUCCACCAGAUAAUCAACCCAUGGUCGCCGAAGAAGAAAAGACUUUAGGCAGAUUCAAUGAUAGAGCUAAAGGUAGAGCUCAUUCAAGGAACCACCUGCAUGCAAACCAAAAAGAUCAAAGAAAAAUAUAGAAAGACUGCGAAAAACAUGUCUAUAACAUUCUUCCAAUACUAACACUAAAACUGUUUGUCAAUAAAGCUAAAGAAAAAGCAAACAAAAGAAAUAGAAAAAUACUUCAACAAAAGAAAUAGAAAAAUACUUCGAGUUGGGGGAGAAAAACCAACUCUCCAACCAAUAACAGUAGAGCUCCCCUCUGCUUGAAGGGAGCAGAGGGGCCAAAGAAAUUGGUAGAGAAAGGGAGAGUCUCUCAAAACCCAAAGAAGAAGAAAUUGGGAGAA